Molecule: ribosomal RNA, 171 nt
Filed under: uncultured bacterium
Lineage: Bacteria
Description: partial 16S ribosomal RNA
Rfam family: Bacterial small subunit ribosomal RNA (bases 1-79)
Source: RNAcentral
CACACUGUAAACGAUGAACACUUGGUGUGGAGGGAGUUGACCCCUUCCGUGCCGUAGCUAACGCGUUAAGUGUUCCGCCUGGGGANGCAACGCGAAGAACCUUACCUGGGCUUGAACUGCUAUGGACCGGUACAGAGAUGUGCCUUUUCGCAAGAACCGUAGCAGAGGUGC